This 3394-nucleotide long non-coding RNA is filed under the name Macaca mulatta (Rhesus monkey). RNAcentral describes it as "lncRNA (ENSMMUG00000054930.1)". The record is from RNAcentral. Lineage: Eukaryota; Metazoa; Chordata; Mammalia; Primates; Cercopithecidae.
AUGGCUGCAGUGGGCAUCCUCACUUCUCAGGGAUACCUUUCUUCCUCUGGUUCACCACUGCCCUUUUCAGUCAUAUUCUAUUAUUUAUUUACAGAGGCAGGGUCUUGCUCUGUUGUCCAGGCUGGAGUGCAGUGGCACGAUCAUGGCUCACUGCAGCCUCCAACUCCUGGGAUCAAGUGAUCCUCCUGCCUCAGCCUCUUAAGUAGCUGAAACUACAUCAUAUUCUAUUGUUACCAUUACUUAAGUUGUGUGUGUGUGUGUGUGUGUGUGUGUUAUUUGAAGAAAACAGAGUGAAAUAUGGUAUUUACCUGGGAUUUUGUGGGGAGCAGGGCCUGGAGAUGGGUCCUGGAAAGCCAGGGUAGUUCCCUCCAGCUGCCGUAACAAAGUACCACAGAUGGGGGUGCUCAGACAGCAGGAAUUUAUCGUCUCAGUUCAGAAGCCGGUGUCAAAAAAUCAAGGUAUCCACUAUGGUAGCUUCUUCUGAGGGCUACGAGGGGAAGGUCUGCUCUAGGCCUCUCUCUUUGGCUUAUGGACAGACACCUUCUCUCUGUGUCUCUUCACACUAUCUUCCUUCUACGCCUGCUUGUGUCCAAUUUUCUGCUUUUUGAAAGGACACCAAUCUUAUUGGAUUAGGGUCUGCCUUAAUAACCUCAUUUUCACUCCAUUACCUCUGUAAAGACCCCAUUUGGAAAUGGAGCAGGAACCUCUCUUAGGGGCCUGCCAGGCACUCCUCCCCACCCCAACCAAACAUGGAAAUAAAGGAAAAUCUUGAGUUCCUUCAAGGGAAAUUCCAGGCAUCCAGCGAACCCUGAGAAGUACAUGAAUACUUGAUAAAUAAGAAGGUAACAGUAGCUUAAAACAAUAGUCAGGGAAGUCAGCACCGUGAAAUGUUUGGCUCCCUACAGAAACCAAAGAUAACAUCUUUUUAAAUGUUUUAUUUAUUUGUUUUUAUUUUUGCAGAGACAGAGUCUCACUACAUUGCCCCGGCUGGUCUCAAACUCCUCGCCUCAAGCAAUCUUCCUGUUACCGGAAAGGAGAUCCGAUCCAGACCCCAAGAAAGGGUUCUUGGAUCUCACACAAGAAUUCGAGAUGAAUCCAUUAGAGUAAAGUGAAAGCCGGUUUAUGAAGAAACUAAAGGAAUUAAAGAAUGGCUACUCCAUAGGCAGAGCAGCCCUGAGGGCUGCUGGAUGCCCAUUUUUAUGGUUAUUUCUCGAUGAUGUGUUGAAUAAGGGGUGGAUUAUUCAUGUCUCCUUUUUUUAGACCUUAUGGGGUAACUUCCUAGCGUUGCCAUGGCAUUUCUGAACCGUCACAGCACUGGUGGGAGUGUAGCAGUGAGGACGACCAGAGGUCACUGUCAUCGCCGUCUUGGUUUUGGUGGGUUUUAGCUGGCUUCUUUACUGCAACCUGUUUUGUCAGCAAGGUCUUUGCGACCUGUGUUUGGUGCUGACCUCGUAUCUCAUCCUGUGACUUAGAAUGCCUCAUCUCCUGGGAAUGCAGCCCACUAGGUCUCAGCCUCAUUUUACCCAGCCCCUAUCCAAGAUGGAGUUGCUCUGGUUCAAAUGCCUCUGACACUUUCACAUCGGCCUCCCAGAGUGUUGAGUUUACAGGCGUGAGCUACCAUGUUUGAUCUAAAGAUAACAUCUUAACAUAUGUCCCUGAGUUGUUUUUCAGAAACCCAGACCCCCACCAAACAGAUCCACUGGCCUGUAGACCUCAGAAAAGGGGGAGCUGAGGACUGAACUCGGACCAGCAAUUCUUUGUUCUAAAGUUCUCCCUGAGGGGCCCAGAGGAAGUCGUACCCGUGAGUCAACCCUAACGUAGCUUUCUGCUGACCCCAGCAUAUGUAGACAAAGCUUUGCCUCCUUAACCAAUUGCAAAUCAGAAAAUAUUUGAAUCAAACUGUGGCCCCUGCUUUGAGAUGUUCCACCUUUUUAGGCCAAAGCAACGUACAAUCUUCACGUAUUAGCCUCCAAUUUUGCCUGUGACUUCCGCUUACCUGAAAUUUCCCCCUGCCUAUGAAAACCCUUACUUGCUAGCCAUGGGAGAGUUCAGGUCUUAAGUGUUGCUUGGCACACUGCAAUCAAUGCCUCACUUCAUUUCACCAGGAUCCCAAUGCCACUGCUUGACCUUGCUGGACCAGGUGAGCAGACCCCACUUGGGUCAGUAAAAAUCUCCAAGUCAAGUCACACUUUGAGGAGUCGGGGAGUUAGGACUUCAGCAUAUGAAUUUGGGGGUGGGGGAAGACACAGUUCACCCCAGCAGCACUGCCUAUCUGGAAAAUGCGGGCGUCUGAUAAGCUGAGUUCUCCAUCAAGGAGCGCAGGGAGAGACUUGAGAGCCGUGGCUGUCCCCGCCCUGGCCCCUGCCCGCCACCCCGUUCCUUUUCACUGCAGUGUGCCAGCAAAGUGACUGAAGCUUUCCAAGGACCCAAUUACCAGCUUCUCCUCAGUGGCCCUGCCCGAGUCCUAAGGUUCAACACAACAUUUUAAUUACUUUUUAAAUGCACCCUAAUCACGAUGACACUUGAGCAGAGAGCCUGAUGGAACUGACUUUUCCUGCAGAGGCUGUUCUCUGUGAAACAGACUGCUCUCAGCGAAGGCGGAGAGGCCAAAGCACAGGCAUUUCACGUGAAAUGAGGGCAGGAAAGCCUCACCUCCUGAGUGGGCAGUAGCACUUUUUGGAUUCCCCCUGGUUUAAAGGGUGGCAGGGCUGUGGGAUGCGGCCCAGUGAUGCUGCAAACAGAUGGGUCCGGUUUGGUGUGUUCUCGGUUGGUGCACAGAGCAGGCCAGGGUGACUGACCCAAGUCCCUGCAGCAUCCUCUAAGGCAGAGUGAUUUGUCAAAAAUUUAGAGCUGAUGGAAAAAUUAACUGUAUCUCAUUUACUGGCCUACGGCCUCACAAAUGGGAAAGAAAGGAGAUCAUUCCCCUCCUUCAAUUCUGGAGUAUCCCUAGGAAGAGUUAUAGGACAUUAUCAUCAUCAUCAUCAUCAUCAUCAUCAUCACACUGGCUUAAAACAACAGACAUGUCUCAUAGAUGUGCAGUCUAGAAGUCUGGAUUCAAGGUGCUGGCGGGCCCUGCUUCCUCUGAAAUCUGAAGGGGAAUCUGUCCUUGUGUCUUCCCGGCCCCCGUGGCUUGCUGGCCACCUUUGACGCUCCUUAGCUUGCCGGUGUACCUCUCCAUCCUCCAUCUUCACAUGGUGCUCUUCUGUGUCUCUGUCCUCACCUGGCUGCCUUUUUAUAAGAAUGACCCAGAACAUGAUUUUAAAAUGUCUGGGUUGGGCAUGGCAUAAUCCCAGUGCUUUGAGGGCCAAGAUGCGAGGAUUGCUUGAGACCAGGAGUUCGAGACCAGCCUGGGCAACAUAGUGAGACCCUGUCUCUACAAAAAAAAAAAAAAAAA